RNAcentral lists this ribosomal RNA (259 nucleotides) under uncultured bacterium. Its description in RNAcentral is "partial small subunit ribosomal RNA". It matches the Rfam family "Bacterial small subunit ribosomal RNA", at positions 26 to 285 of the family's 1533-position model. The record is from RNAcentral.
AGGACGAACGCUGGCGGCGUGCUUAACACAUGCAAGUCGAGCGGUAAGGCCUCCUUCGGGGGGUACACGAGCGGCGAACGGGUGAGUAACACGUGGGUGACCUGCCCUCAGCUCUGGGAUAAGCCUGGGAACCCGGGUCUAAUACCGGAUGGGACUGCUUGCCGCAUGGUGGGUGGUGGAAAGUUUUUUCGGCUGGGGAUGGGCCCGCGGCCUAUCAGCUUGUUGGUGGGGUGAUGGCCUACCAAGGCGGUGACGGGUA